RNAcentral lists this non-coding RNA (749 nucleotides) under Helicobacter bizzozeronii CCUG 35545. RNAcentral's name for it is "Large Subunit Ribosomal RNA; lsuRNA; LSU rRNA". It matches the Rfam family "Bacterial large subunit ribosomal RNA", at positions 473 to 811 of the family's 2925-position model. The record is from RNAcentral. Lineage: Bacteria; Pseudomonadati; Campylobacterota; Epsilonproteobacteria; Campylobacterales; Helicobacteraceae.
CUACUACUACACCGAUAGCGCACAAGUACCGUGAGGGAAAGGUGAAAAGAACCGUGGGUAACGGAGUGAAAUAGAACCUGAAACCAUCUACUUACAAUCAUUCAGAGCACCAUAGUGAAUCCCCCUGAGGAAUUGCGGGGGGGGGCUGUAUAUAACACUUAUACGCCCUCUCCUCCUCCAUGAUUUCUCGAUAUCUUUUUUGGUAAGGAGUUUUCAUGAAACCCCAAGACAAUGCGUCAAACAUGCAAAACCCGAAUCGUGGGACUAGCGGGACAAAUAGGCAAUACGACCAAAAUCAGGGGAAUAGGGGAAGCCAACUAAACCCUAACAACCCCAACAACAGGAAAUAGGUAAGGAGAGGUCUCAUGGGAAGAGGACAACCAGAUAACGACCCUAACGAAGCAGGCUAUCCUUCCACGACAGGUAACCCAAGCGGUGGCGGUCGUGGCAAUGAUGACCCUGAUGACGAUUAGGUCUAACUAGGUCUCAAACAAGGAGGGGAAAAACUUCAAUUCUUCAGUGGGAUUCACUGGUGUGAUGGACUGCCUUUUGCAUAAUGAUCCUGCGAGUUGUGGUGUCUGGCAAGGUUAAGUGAAAACGAGCCGUAGCGAAAGCGAGUCUGAAUAGGGCUAUUUAGUCAGACGCUGCAGACCCGAAGCCAAGUGAUCUAUCCAUGGCCAAGUUGAAACGAGUGUAACAGCUUGUGGAGGACUGAACCCGUGCCCAUUGAAACGGGCUGGGAUGAGCUG